AACAAAGUGGGCUAUCCAAUGAGAGGAUGGAGAGUGUCGGCAUAUCUGAAGAGAAUACUGAUCUGGACUCCAUCUCAAGAGGGAAAUGAGUCAGCGACAUGGUGCUGAGGAACCCUUGAGCCUAGCCUUUGGCGGCCAAGAGAAGAAGGUGCCUUCUCUUCCCUUCAUCUCCACGGUGUGUAGACUUCAGAUCCCACCAGCUCCUCUCGGUCCUUUUCAAGCUGGAAGCCCACUUGCUGCCAGCUCGCUAAGGAGAAGCAUCCGGCAUCACAUCAAUAGGCAGUUCAUCUGUUCAAUGGGAUGCUGACAUGUCAUGCAGCACUGGAUCCUCAGACCCUCUCUCCUGCCUCUGCAUUCUUCCUGGUCAAGAGAACUGAGAGCCAUAGACCAUUAGGGCUGGUGACUCCGAGAAUCCAGUGCGUAUCUUGCUGGUUGUGAGAAGGGACACCGGACAUCUUAUCACCGAUUGCAGAGCUUGGAUCCUCAGGUCCAAGCUGAGAGAAGUGAUCAAUGAAUUCAGAAGGGCAACAGCGGCCAAUCGCGGUGUCUUCCCAAGCCCUUCCUAUCAGACUCCAGCUCUCCCCGCUGACAGAAGCCAUAUCAGUUCCUACCCAGGGAUCAGGAUGACACCUCGACACAGCAAGUCUCCCCUGAGACAGACGACAGGAGUGAAAGUGAAGCUGUCAGUGUUUGCUGCAUCCUGACUCCACACAAAGAAGGUUUGAGCAAGCACCACCUUCCCAAAGGCUUACGAGAAUGCCUACUAGCCAGAGCUUCCAGAGAGUGACAGUCCAGUCUCCACGGUAGGUACUGUCACAUCGUCAUUUGCAGAGGAAGACAGUGAGGCAUGAGAGGUUGGGUAACUUGCCCCUGAUCACACAGUGCAGCAGGUGCAGGCAAGGCUGGGCGAUGACUGAGCGUCCCUACCACGGCACAUUUAUGCCUGAGGGGUGUGCUACACUCCUGCCUGCCAUCCGUGUACUUAUGCCACAUGUCGUGUUCAUCAACCCCCUCCCCCCGAUCAUUAGAACAGCUCCAUGGGGCAGGAAAAGGGAUCCAGGCACCAGAGUAUGGGAGAGAGCAACAUUAAACCCAAAUGAACAGGAACCGGUAAAAGGAAAAACACGGCCUGUGAGUGAUAGGGAAUGGCACCCAGUGCCUGGAGGAGCAGCCCUCUGAUACACAAGGUGACCUCAUACAUACAUACACACACACUUAGGAAAUACGUGCUGCAGGAUCCACACAGUAUUCUGGAAGACCCACACUGCAGGGCUGUUGCUCAAGUUCCUUCCCCCAGGGGAGACAUAAACAAUGUCUACCCCUCUUUCUACGGUCUCAAUGACAAAUAGAGGUAUGAUUCCAUCAAAAUGCACUCUGAGGGACAAAUGAGUUUAUUGGGCUUCCUUACAGAGUAGUGGGUGAGGGGCCCACAGAAACAGUCACACUGAAAGAUCUGCACCCAGUGAAGAUGAUAGCUCCCCCAUGGCCGCAGAGAUGGAGGCCUCCUCCCUAGUCCUUCCAAACUAUAUAUUUCUAGCCCCUCCCUGAGGCCACCUGCAAUUGGAAUACAAAUGCAUAGAUCUGUUUAGGGGAAUUUCUGGAUGCUGGGUAAGGGUUCUAUAACCUCUUCUGGCUAUCUUUUGGUGAGCAAUGAGGAAACAUGAUUAGUCAACGA
This is a long non-coding RNA of Peromyscus eremicus (cactus mouse), 1675 nucleotides long. RefSeq lists it as uncharacterized. The transcript has 3 exons. The record is from RefSeq and is a predicted model, not a curated record. NCBI's taxonomy places the organism in Eukaryota, Metazoa, Chordata, Mammalia, Rodentia, Cricetidae.